This 143-nucleotide ribosomal RNA is filed under the name uncultured bacterium. RNAcentral describes it as "partial 16S ribosomal RNA". It matches the Rfam family "Bacterial small subunit ribosomal RNA", at positions 366 to 525 of the family's 1533-position model. The record is from RNAcentral.
GCGUCGCAUGCGCGAGCCUGACGGAGCACGCCGCGUGAGGGAGGAAGGUCUUUGGAUUGUAAACCUCUUUUCUCAAGGAAGAAGUUCUGACGGUACUUGAGGAAUCAGCCUCGGCUAACUCCGUGCCAGCAGCCGCGGUAAUA